Molecule: ribosomal RNA, 441 nt
Filed under: uncultured bacterium
Lineage: Bacteria
Description: partial 16S ribosomal RNA
Rfam family: Bacterial small subunit ribosomal RNA
Source: RNAcentral
CCUACGGGGUGCAGCAGUGGGGAAUAUUGCACAAUGGGGGGAACCCUGAUGCAGCGACGCCGCGUGGGUGAAGGAGUAUUUCGGUAUGUAAAGCCCUAUCAGCAGGGAAGAACAAUGACGGUACCGGACGAAGAAGCACCGGCUAAAUACGUGCCAGCAGCCGCGGUAAUACGUCUGGUGCAAGCGUUAUCCGGAUUUACUGGGUGUAAAGGGAGCGCAGGCGGCGCGUUAAGCCUGGUGUGAAAGCCCGCGGCCCAACCGCGGGACUGCAUUGGGAACUGGCGCGCUGGAGUGCCGGAGGGGUAGGCGGCAUUCCUAGUGUAGCGGUGCACUGCGUCGAUAUUAGGAGGCACACCAGUGGCGAAGGCGGCCUACUGGACGGUGACUGCCGCUGCGGCUCGACAGCGUGGGGAGCACACAGGAUUAGCUACCCGAGUAGUC